GCCUCGUUAGCUCAGUUGGUAGAGCAGUUGCCUCUUAAGCAAACGGUCGUAGGUUCGAAUCCUACACGGGGCACAA
RNAcentral lists this transfer RNA (76 nucleotides) under Candidatus Vogelbacteria bacterium RIFOXYD2_FULL_44_9. Its description in RNAcentral is "tRNA-Lys". It matches the Rfam family "tRNA". From Rfam's summary of the family: Transfer RNA (tRNA) molecules are approximately 80 nucleotides in length. Their secondary structure includes four short double-helical elements and three loops (D, anti-codon, and T loops). Further hydrogen bonds mediate the characteristic L-shaped molecular structure. tRNAs have two regions of fundamental functional importance: the anti-codon, which is responsible for specific mRNA codon recognition, and the 3' end, to which the tRNAs corresponding amino acid is attached (by aminoacyl-tRNA synthetases). tRNAs cope with the degeneracy of the genetic code in two manners: having more than one tRNA (with a specific anti-codon) for a particular amino acid; and 'wobble' base-pairing, i.e. permitting non-standard base-pairing at the 3rd anti-codon position. The record is from RNAcentral. Lineage: Bacteria; Candidatus Vogeliibacteriota.